GCAGUUGGAGUUGUGGGUGAAGUCCGGCUCCCGUAGGAGUCCGGACGUAGUUUACCUGUAAGUGAAGUCGUGGGCGGAGCUCGGCUCCCGUAGGUGUCCGGACUGAGUCUUCCUGCAGUUGGAGUUGUGGGUGAAGUCCGGCUCCCGUAGGAGUCCAGACGUAGUUUACCUGUAAGUGAAGUUGUGGGCGGAGCCCGGCUCCCGUAGGAGUCCGGGCGAAGUCCGCCCGCAGCCGGAGUUGGGAACGAGGUCCGGCUCCCGUAGGAGUCCGGAUGAAAUCUGGUAGUUAUAGGAAUCUACCGUCGGAGAAGUUCAGCCGUUGACGGAGUCCGGUGUAGUUCGGAUUGGAGUUGAACCUGGCUGGAAGGAGUCUGGAAGGGAUUCGGGGAACGACUGAUAGUUGUAGAAAGUCGGCUGGCGGCGGAGCUCAGUGGGCACUUGGGGUGGCUUAAUAGAUGACUAGGGGAACUCAUGUUGAAGGAGCUCGGGUGGUGCAGUGGGAGUUCGUCCGUCGGGAGAAUUCAGUCAGCACCGUGGGAAUCCGACUGUUGGAGAAGUCCGGAGAGAUACCAUCUGCGAUCGAAAGCCGGAGGAG
RNAcentral lists this long non-coding RNA (595 nucleotides) under Elaeis guineensis (African oil palm). RNAcentral's name for it is "long non-coding RNA (EGUI_LNC041710)". The record is from RNAcentral. Lineage: Eukaryota; Viridiplantae; Streptophyta; Magnoliopsida; Arecales; Arecaceae.